GCGGUAGUAGUAUAGUGGUUAGUAUGCGGCGUUGCCAACGCUGUGACCCGAGAAUCCUUUUGGAUCGGGAAUUCAAAUCUCGGCUACCGCA
This 91-nucleotide transfer RNA is filed under the name archaeon. Its description in RNAcentral is "tRNA-Gly". It matches the Rfam family "tRNA". Rfam says of the family: Transfer RNA (tRNA) molecules are approximately 80 nucleotides in length. The record is from RNAcentral.